UACGGAGGGGGCAAGCGUUGUUCGGAAUCACUGGGUGUAAAGGGUGCGUAGGCGGUCCGUUAAGUCUGAUGUGAAAGCCCUGGGCUCAACUCAGGAAUUGCAUUGGAAACUGGCGGGCUGGAGUACGGGAGAGGGAAGCGGAAUUCCUGGUGUAGCGGUGAAAUGCGUAGAUACCAGGAGGAACACCGGUGGCGAAGGCGGUUUCCUGGCCCAGUACUGACGCUGAGGCACGAAAGCGUGGGGAGCGAACGGG
This 253-nucleotide ribosomal RNA is filed under the name uncultured bacterium. RNAcentral's name for it is "partial 16S ribosomal RNA". It matches the Rfam family "Bacterial small subunit ribosomal RNA", at positions 524 to 776 of the family's 1533-position model. The record is from RNAcentral.